RNAcentral lists this ribosomal RNA (497 nucleotides) under uncultured bacterium. Its description in RNAcentral is "partial 16S ribosomal RNA". It matches the Rfam family "Bacterial small subunit ribosomal RNA", at positions 28 to 507 of the family's 1533-position model. The record is from RNAcentral.
GAUGAACGCUGGCGGCGUGCCUAAUACAUGCAAGUCGAGCGAACGGACGAGAAGCUUGCUUCUCUGAUGUUAGCGGCGGACGGGUGAGUAACACGUGGAUAACCUACCUAUAAGACUGGGAUAACUUCGGGAAGCCGGAGCUAAUACCGGAUGAUAUUUUGAACCGCAUGGUUCAAAAGUGAAAGACGGUCUUGCUGUCACUUAUAGAUGGAUCCGCGCUGCAUUAGCUAGUUGGUAAGGUAACGGCUUACCAAGGCAACGAUGCAUAGCCGACCUGAGAGGGUGAUCGGCCACACUGGAACUGAGAAACGGUCCAGACUCCUACGGGAGGCAGCAGUAGGGAAUCUUCCGCAAUGGGCGAAAGCCUGACGGAGCAACGCCGCGUGAGUGAUGAAGGUCUUCGGAUCGUAAAACUCUGUUAUUAGGGAAGAACAUAUGUGUAAGUAACUGUGCACAUCUUGACGGUACCUAAUCAGAAAGCCACGGCUAACUACGUG